AGUGAACGCUGGCGGUAGGCCUAACACAUGCAAGUCGAACGGCAGCACAGUAAGAGCUUGCUCUUACGGGUGGCGAGUGGCGGACGGGUGAGGAAUACAUCGGAAUCUACUUUUUCGUGGGGGUUAACGUAGGGAAACUUACGCUAAUACCGCAUACGACCUACGGGUGAAAGCAGGGGAUCUUCGGACCUUGCGCGAUUGAACGAGCCGAUGUCGGAUUAGCUAGUUGGCGGGGUAAAGGCCCACCAAGGCGACGAUCCGUAGCUGGUCUGAGAGGAUGAUCAGCCACACAGGGGCUGAGACACGUUGCCGACUCCUACGGGAGGCAGCAGUGGGAAAUAUUGGGCAAUGGGCGGAAGCCUGAUCCACCCAUACCGCGUGGGUGAAGAAGGCCUUCGGGUUGUAAAGCCCUUUUGUUGGGAAAGAAAAGCAGCAGGUUAAUACCCCGCUGUUCUGACGGUACCCAAAGAAUAAGCACCGGCUAACUUCGU
This 491-nucleotide ribosomal RNA is filed under the name uncultured bacterium. RNAcentral's name for it is "partial 16S ribosomal RNA". It matches the Rfam family "Bacterial small subunit ribosomal RNA", at positions 29 to 506 of the family's 1533-position model. The record is from RNAcentral.